RNAcentral lists this transfer RNA (64 nucleotides) under Felis catus (domestic cat). It matches the Rfam family "tRNA". Rfam says of the family: Transfer RNA (tRNA) molecules are approximately 80 nucleotides in length. Their secondary structure includes four short double-helical elements and three loops (D, anti-codon, and T loops). Further hydrogen bonds mediate the characteristic L-shaped molecular structure. tRNAs have two regions of fundamental functional importance: the anti-codon, which is responsible for specific mRNA codon recognition, and the 3' end, to which the tRNAs corresponding amino acid is attached (by aminoacyl-tRNA synthetases). tRNAs cope with the degeneracy of the genetic code in two manners: having more than one tRNA (with a specific anti-codon) for a particular amino acid; and 'wobble' base-pairing, i.e. permitting non-standard base-pairing at the 3rd anti-codon position. Lineage: Eukaryota; Metazoa; Chordata; Mammalia; Carnivora; Felidae. The record is from Rfam by way of RNAcentral.
GCCCAGUCAGUUGAACAUGAGACUCCUGAUCUCAAGGUUGUGAGUUCAAGUCCCAUGUUGGGCA